This is a non-coding RNA of Diatrype stigma, 73 nucleotides long. The record is from the annotation of a GenBank genome assembly. Lineage: Eukaryota; Fungi; Ascomycota; Sordariomycetes; Xylariales; Diatrypaceae.
GAAUUAGUAACUUAAUUGGUAAAGGACUUCCCUGUCACGGAGGUAGAUGAGGGUUCGAGACCCUUCUAAUUCG